RNAcentral lists this unclassified non-coding RNA (1777 nucleotides) under Daphnia pulicaria. RNAcentral's name for it is "f-box only protein 21-like, transcript variant X3". Lineage: Eukaryota; Metazoa; Arthropoda; Branchiopoda; Diplostraca; Daphniidae. The record is from RNAcentral.
UCUGGCAAUGUCAAGCAGACGACUCUCAAGCUCUACAGAGAAUUCAUUUGACGUUCAGGAAUAAUUCAAAGUCAAAACUGUAAACAAGAGAUUUUUUUAAAUAACAGUUUGUUUUUGUUAAAUAAUGGCAGACUUGCUUUCGUUUUCUGACGAGGUUUUAUGUCGCAUACUUGGGAGUAUUUCUAAGGUUAAAGACUUGCAUAACGUUAUGCUAGUAUGUCACCGAUUCCUACAUGUGAUUAAAAGCUACAAUAGAUUGUGGAAAUUUGAAAAGAAAGUGAAAAAUAUGCUUCAGGGAUUAUCCUCUAAAUAUUUUUUAAUUGGUGAACCCUCUCUUGUAGAAGUAGAAAAUAUGGUUAAUAGUGAAAGUCAUGCUCCAGAUGAGUGGAUGGAAAGUGUUCUUCAAAAUGAGAUAUUUAAUCAGAACCUGAAUGAAAAUUUAACUACAAGAUUUUAUGCCCGGAAAAUGCUGAGGUAUUUUAGAAGUUGUGUUAUUGAGAAGAAAUUAAAACACCUGAUGGAUUUACCAGAAUCCCAGAAAUCCAUAUUAGAAGGGGCUGUCUUGAUUUCACAGUGGGUCCAAACAGAACAAGAGCACUUAAUUAGUUUAAUUGAGGUUGAAUUAAAACUUGAAGACAUUACAAAAUGUGUAAAGCAACAUUUGGUUGAAAAGUCAGACACAUUUACAGCCAAAGAAAUACUGGAAUGUAUUAACAAAGUUUUGUAUCGUGAAAUGGAAUUCAAAGUCAUGCAGUCUGAUUACUCAUUUGAAUAUUUUUUUAUUGACAAGGUUCUUGAAUCGAGAAUUGGCUUCCCCGUGACUCUUUGUAUUAUCUAUCGAGAGGUAGCCAAACGAAUGGGAAUUUACUGCGAGCCUGUUUUACCCCCCAAAAUUCUCUUGCAUCGUUUUUAUCUUAAGUGGAACGCAAACCCAAAUCUUGCAGGGGACACUGACUGUAAUCAAUUGAUUGACCCAGCAAAUGGCGGUUCUUUGCAUUACUUCCAUCCGACUACGUGUCCAGUCGUUUCAACUAAAGAAUUUUUACAGAGAAUGGUGGAAUAUAUGCGUAGAAUCAGAUUACAAAGUAUUAGGUCUGGAAGAAGAGAAGGUCGAGACAGAACCCACUUCCAAAGGAGACGAAACGAACUGUGCUUUUCUCGAUUGGCCUGUGCCGUUUCUCCUGACCAAACUUCUUCGAUCCUUCUCUAUGCGCACCUCUGCUUGGAUCUUGACGUCCAGCUAGAAGAUGCAGUUCGGCUCCUUCAGCAAGUUGAAACGCUGCACGAUCAUCGACUAAUGGAAAAAUGCAUUCAGAAAUUAAACCAGAAAAAUUCGCUAGUCACAAAAAAAGUAAAAAGGUUAUCCACCUUCGAUCAUCAUCCGUUAAAUACGCAGUGGGACUUGUCAUGAUAUACAAAGAUAGCGCUUGUAAGCCACCGUUACUGUGUGUAAUCGACUCCUGGACACACCAUGAUCCAGACAGAAUAUUUUAUAACGUCCUUUUCGACGAUGGGGAUUCUUCCUUCGUUGCUGAAGAUAAUUUAAAACUAAACACUAAUGUGUCGUUCGUCAGCAGCCAUCCGAAUAUCGGGCUUUCUUUUGAACGUUUCAACGGCCGCCGAUACAUCUCCAAUGCUGAGAUGAUGACCCUCUUCCCAGACGAUGAAGCCUUUGCUCUUUCUCUGGUCGGAUAAAAUUAUAUGUAUUAUCGUAUCGCAUUAUGUAAUUGCCUGCCUUUUACUUACAUAAGCCGCUACACAGUGCCAAAUAGUUUCA